RNAcentral lists this unclassified non-coding RNA (352 nucleotides) under soil metagenome. RNAcentral's name for it is "partial contains 5.8S ribosomal RNA, internal transcribed spacer 2, and large subunit ribosomal RNA". The stretch from base 1 to 120 matches the Rfam family "5.8S ribosomal RNA", at positions 35 to 154 of the family's 154-position model. The record is from RNAcentral.
GAUGAAGAACGCAGCGAAAUGCGAUAAGUAAUGUGAAUUGCAGAAUUCAGUGAAUCAUCGAAUCUUUGAACGCACAUUGCGCCCGCCAGUAUUCUGGCGGGCAUGCCUGUUCGAGCGUCAUUACAACCCUCAGGCCCCCGGGCCUGGCGUUGGGGAUCGGCGGAGCCCCCCGUGGGCACACGCCGUCCCCCAAAUGCAGUGGCGGUCCCGCCGCAGCUUCCAUCGCGUAGUAGCUAACACCUCGCGACUGGAGAGCGGCGCGGCCACGCCGUACAACACCCAACUCUUCUGAAGUUGACCUCGAAUCAGGUAGGAAUACCCGCUGAACUUAAGCAUAUCAAUAAGCGGAGGA